AACGAACGCUGGCGGCAGGCCUAACACAUGCAAGUCGAGCGGACCCUUCGGGGUUAGCGGCGGACGGGUGAGUAACGCGUGGGAAUGUGCCCUUCUCUACGGAAUAGCCCUGGGAAACUGGGAGUAAUACCGUAUACGCCCUAUUGGGGAAAGAUUUAUCGGAGAAGGAUCAGCCCGCGUUGGAUUAGGUAGUUGGUGGGGUAAUGGCCUACCAAGCCGACGAUCCAUAGCUGGUUUGAGAGGAUGAUCAGCCACACUGGGACUGAGACACGGCCCAGACUCCUACGGGAGGCAGCAGUGGGGAAUCUUAGACAAUGGGGGCAACCCUGAUCUAGCCAUGCCGCGUGAGUGAUGAAGGCCUUAGGGUUGUAAAGCUCUUUCAGCUGGGAAGAUAAUGACGGUACCAGCAGAAGAAGCCCCGGCUAACUCCGUG
This 433-nucleotide ribosomal RNA is filed under the name uncultured bacterium. Its description in RNAcentral is "partial 16S ribosomal RNA". It matches the Rfam family "Bacterial small subunit ribosomal RNA", at positions 29 to 507 of the family's 1533-position model. The record is from RNAcentral.